Molecule: ribosomal RNA, 254 nt
Filed under: uncultured bacterium
Lineage: Bacteria
Description: partial 16S ribosomal RNA
Rfam family: Bacterial small subunit ribosomal RNA
Source: RNAcentral
UACGGAGGGGGCGAGCGUUAUUCGGAAUUAUUGGGCGUAAAGGGCGCGUAGGCGGCUGAACAAGUCAAAGGUGAAAUCCCUCGGCUCAACUGAGGAACUGCCUUUGAAACUGUUCGGCUUGAGGCCGGGAGGGGGUAGCGGAAUUCCCAGUGUAGCGGUGAAAUGCGUAGAUAUUGGGAGGAACACCAGUGGCGAAGGCGGCUACCUGGACCGGUUCUGACGCUGAGGCGCGAAAGCGUGGGGGAGCAAACAGG